GGCCUGGUGGCGCAAUGGUAGCGCGUUCGACUCCAGUUCGAGGGUGUUACUCUCCUGGUCACAUCGAAAGGUUCCGUGUUCAAGUCACGUUCGGGUCA
RNAcentral lists this transfer RNA (98 nucleotides) under Melampsora larici-populina 98AG31. Its description in RNAcentral is "tRNA-Trp for anticodon CCA". It matches the Rfam family "tRNA". Rfam says of the family: Transfer RNA (tRNA) molecules are approximately 80 nucleotides in length. Their secondary structure includes four short double-helical elements and three loops (D, anti-codon, and T loops). Lineage: Eukaryota; Fungi; Basidiomycota; Pucciniomycetes; Pucciniales; Melampsoraceae. The record is from Rfam by way of RNAcentral.